RNAcentral lists this ribosomal RNA (301 nucleotides) under uncultured bacterium. RNAcentral's name for it is "partial 16S ribosomal RNA". It matches the Rfam family "Bacterial small subunit ribosomal RNA", at positions 509 to 807 of the family's 1533-position model. The record is from RNAcentral.
CAGUCGCCGCGGGAAUACGGAGGGUGCAAGCGUUAAUCGGAAUUACCGGGCGUAAAGCGUGCGUAGGCGGUUCGUUAAGUCUGUUGUGAAAGCCCCGGGCUCAACCUGGGAAUGGCAAUGGAUACUGGCGAGCUAGAGUGUGUCAGAGGAUGGUGGAAUUCCCGGUGUAGCGGUGAAAUGCGUAGAGAUCGGGAGGAACAUCAGUGGCGAAGGCGGCCAUCUGGGACAACACUGACGCUGAGGCACGAAAGCGUGGGGAGCAAACAGGAUUAGAUACCCCCGUAGUCCCUGUCUCUUAUAC